Molecule: long non-coding RNA, 1423 nt
Organism: Rhopilema esculentum
Lineage: Eukaryota; Metazoa; Cnidaria; Scyphozoa; Rhizostomeae; Rhizostomatidae
Source: RefSeq, a predicted model, not a curated record
AGGAAGCGUAUUGAUCCAGAUUCCAGAAUAAUGGACAAAGAGGGACACUGGUGAAUGCAGGGCGAUAUGCAGGUUGAAAAACACAGUAAUGAAUGAUGCAAUCUGAAAAUUGUUUUCCAGGCCUUACUCAAGCCGACAAGAUAAUGUGGAAGUUUGAAAAAAUUUGUUGAGAAGAGGGUGUGGCUCUUAUCGCAAGGACACUAACAACUAUGAUGCACAAGGUAUGUAGACUUGAGAAUAGCCUGACCGAAUUUCAAAUUGUAGAGGAUAUGGUAUUAUGUUGGGGACAAACCAAUUUAAAUCACAUGUAUGAAAAAUAAAAUGACAUGGCUCUGAAUGGCUGGCAAUUAAUCAAACCACAAUGACGACUUGAUAACUAUACUUUCUGACUUUGAGAAUUUCAUGAUUUAUUUAAUAUGAUGUACAAUCUCGUAAGAACAUGGAAAGAGAUCAGUCUGCUUUUGGUUCUUAUCUUUGGGUGUUAUUUUCCACAAAAUCAGUCUGUAGGUUCUUAUUUUCCUAUGUUCUUGUUUGCGGGGUUUUACUGUAUUCUACGUACACAAAAAAAAGCUGACUGAUUUUAUUGCUUCAGUGCAAAACCAGAUAUUGUAAGGGUUUAGUGGGGGCAAGAGCUGAACCCCCACUAAAAUUUUGAAGAACCGAGCGUAACUUUCUUUUAAAAAAAGUGCAGUGUCGUCUUCGUUCAUGUUUGUGAAAGAUUUUUAUAGACAACUGACAAAAUCACUAACAAAGGUUAUAGUAAACAGUGUCCUGAGACACGAUCCCUGUGGUACAACACGAAGUGGAUGAGGUUUCUGGCGAUAACAUAUUUCAAGCUUCUCCUCCAUUGAAAGUUUAAGACUCAAGGGACGCACUUCGAGUCCCAAAAAAGGGCACCCUCGAGUUUGACCAAAACAUGCCCCCCCCCCCAUCGUUUCUCAGUGACGACGAGUGGCUUAAUGACCUUGCAGUUUAACAGAAUCGACACGUCAUCUCUCCGACCUUAAUGUCAAGAUGCAAGGAAAAGAUCAGCUACGCAUCAAAAUGUUUCAGCAUGUUUUGGCCUUUGAAAGCAAACUGAAGUUAUUUUUAGAACAGCUCAGUAAAAAGGACACAUCCCAUUUUGAACUUUUAACAUCGAGAGUGAACAUUUUCCAAGUGAAUUUUCAAAAAUACACACACUGCAUAAAGACAUUGUCAGCAGAAUUUGAUUCCCGAUUUGAAGAUUUCAGGACAAACCAAGACGGAUUUCGAUUAUUUGCUGAUCCGUUCAGAGUGGACAUUAAUGGUUAUCAAAGUACCUUUCCACUCGAACUUCUUGACAUGCAAAACAAUUUUGAACUAAAAAAUGCUCAUUCAGAAGUCGAUUUGCUCCGCUUUUCUCAGAUGUAUCAGACUAACAUAAAAGAAUUGGCAAGAAGAU